CGAGCGAAUGAACGAGUGAACGAGCGAGCGAGCGAACGCGCUCGACUCUCCUGACAAACGCGAUUUCAUUACGUAAAACAAGUGUGCGUCGUUCGAACCUUGCUGCCCGUUCGCCAUUCAUUCGCUAUAGAAACGACGCGUCGAUUUUGCAGUCUGACGUCGAAUCGACUUUGAAAUUUUAUUAUUCAACGCUCCGAUAAUUUUCGCCAGAACACAGUGUACUUCACGCACGCACGCACGCACACACAGACACACAUCGGGGAUGAAGACUUAUAAAGCGGUUUCCAAAAGAAAAACAUUUAAACAGAUGGAAGCAAAAGAGGGAAAACGCGGAAGGAAAAGGCGCGAAGAAAACGGGCGUGCGCUUAGCACUGACUAUAACCCCAUUUGGUAGCAAAGCGAGAGAAAUCCAUUCCAAGGCACGCGGAACAUUACCCAAACCAUCUCACCAUCGCGGAGCCUGAAGCCCAGCCACGGUUGCUAUAGUGACCGCGUCCAUCCUCCCCUGCGUUUGCUUGUCUCAUACACAUACACCAUCCCUCCGUACGCUUCCCUUUACUCUCUCUCUUUACUCCCUUUUUCUCUCUCUCUCUCUCCCUUCUACUAUGACUAUCCCCCUUAUUCACCUCCGCUAUCCUCACUACCCUCACCUAUCCCCACGCUAUCGACACCCCCUUGCCAUUUUCCUUCCCCUCGUUCCCUGCAUCCCUUAUCCCCUUCCCCGACACGGCGUCAGCCGAUAUCAAACUGCGAUAUCAAUUACCACGACGGCAAACUACCGCACGAAGCCCGGCGAUGAAUUUACGGGUCGGAGCACGUGUUUUAUGCAGUUUGUCGGACGACAGAGUGAAUAUUGGGAUGCGGCAUGGAGAAGAGAGUAUAAACGCGCGCAUCCAGAUUAUCCGCAACAAUCGUCGCUGCAAUUUGGCACGCUACGCGCAAAAAGCAUAUGCUCUCUGAUUAAUCGCCGAGUCGAACAUGGAUUCUCUUCGACGCGCCAUUAAAAUGCCUGGCAUCGCUGCCUUCCAAAUGUAUGCGUGCAUGCAUACGGUAUGGUUAGCGAUACGAGAUUGACUGCCGCACGGCGUCAUAUACCUCGUUAUACGGUUACCGGUUAUACGCUGAAACUUGGCGAAGUUGGCAUCUGCCUUCGGCAAGCCCGGGGAAACUGCCGGAAAAGGGAGACGCGAGGACGUUGAGAGUCAGGUAGGAGGCGUGGCCGCCGGGAAAUACGAGAACUGACGAGAGAGAGAGAGAGAGAGAGAGAGUACAGGAAUACAAGGCGGCGAAAGUGUGCGCGAACUUCCAACACGUAAUUACGAACUCGGCCGAACAGCCGAGAGAUUUAAUUAACGAAUCGAGUAGCGAAUUUUUAAUUGCGUUAUCAAUUCCGCGAUUACUUGGUUGCAUUCGAGAUGUAACAUUGAACUCUUUAGAGCGACUGAAUUUUUUUAAUUGCGAAAGCGGAACUUUAGUUGGCUUCUGCGAGACGUAACUGUAAAAAAAAAGUAGUUUAAGAAAGGAAGAAAGCGAAAAACACACGACAAAAUAAAUCUCAUUCGAUCUAAUUUCUUCAACAUCGAGAGGAGAAACAGUUUUCGGAACGAUUCUUGGUGAGCGCAAAAUGUAUUUCGAAAGAAUUCACUUUUAUACUCAAUUUUAUUAUCUAUGUAAAUUUUUAUCGCGCGGUAAUCAACUUUGCGAUUCCGAUUCUCGUGAUUGACAAUCGGUCGGAAAAUUUUCAUAGCCGAAAAUUUUCUUUGGACCUCGCGAAAUAUGCGCACAGUUUCGGUUCGCUUUUUUGUGUCGUCUGCUUCCAGGCGGAUCGCCACGAGAUCCUAACGGUAUACAUCGGCUCCGGCAGCGGCGAUGGAAUGGGACGGAAUGGGACGGGGAUGGCGACGGUUCAGUGACCGACCGACCGACCGAUCGACUACGCUGUACCAAGCCGAAGGAAGACGAAGGCGAGCGCACGUGGAUGAAGGAGGGUGGCGGUAGUAUUGCGUCUCGCGCUCGAGGGAUAAACGAACCGACGCAGCCGACAUUCUUUACUUUUCUUUGACGAUGCAUAACAAUGGCAGCGGAAAUAUUGGCGACAAGCGAGAUCGUCUAUGGAAAUCAUCUUUUCGCAAGGGGCACAGAAAAAUAUCUUUUGAAAACACGGAAGAAGGCUAGGGAAACUCGAAAUUAUACUGAAAUAUAUUUAUUAUGUUAAAAAUAAGAAAAUGAUAUUUUGAUACGAGAAAGUCGAACGUAUAAAUGUAUAUUAUAUAUAUAUCAAAAUAAAUGCAUAUUAGUAUUUAGCAUUAAUUAAAACCGAAGAUGAAUGAGUAGUUUCAAAAAUAUUAAAUUAACUAUCAAGAAGCCUUAUAAUAUUAUA
Long non-coding RNA from Cataglyphis hispanica, 2380 nucleotides. RefSeq lists it as uncharacterized. NCBI's taxonomy places the organism in Eukaryota, Metazoa, Arthropoda, Insecta, Hymenoptera, Formicidae. The transcript has 4 exons. The record is from RefSeq and is a predicted model, not a curated record.